GCAUCACCCACACCCUUGUGAUCAGUGAAUGGGCAGGAAAGAGUCGCCCAGCCUAGCUGUUGUAUACCAGAAGUUUCAAGAGUUACUUCAUACAUCCAUUUCCCUUUCCAGACACAAGCAUUGGCCCUAGCACUGCUGAAUAGAGAAUGACUCUCCAUGAUCAAAGGCUGUUUGACUAUUCGAAUAUCACCACAGAUGCUUGAUUCCUCUAAUUGAAUAAACUGAUGUUUACAACCAUCACCACCAGCAGUCAAAACCCCUUCUCGUUUUCUGUCUGUAACAGUCUUCUGAUUUAUGUGGUACUUCAGAAAUUCGUUCUUUAUAACUAAGCGAACCACUUCAGUAUUUAUUGAACAAGAGAGUGACUUAAUACACUUGUAUGGAAGAUCAAAGAUGUGCUCAAGGGUUCUUUCCACAGAUUGAUCGCCAAAACCAUCACAAUAUGAAACAAGAUGAGUUUUCUGAGAACUCUCCUUCCUAUCUUCACCAUUCAAUACCACAGCCAACCCAGAAGAAAGGCCACCUAUCCCUAUACGUAGGCCGUCUUCUGCCAUUAGCAACAAUAGCACUCCAAGAACAAUCAAUCUUCACUCACCCAAAUCUCAGAACAGCAUCCAACGUCUCCCGUCAAAACCAAGACGCAAAGUUAUCAAUCAUUCAACUGU
Molecule: unclassified non-coding RNA, 665 nt
Filed under: Hevea brasiliensis (rubber tree)
Lineage: Eukaryota; Viridiplantae; Streptophyta; Magnoliopsida; Malpighiales; Euphorbiaceae
Source: RNAcentral